GGCCUCGUAGCUCAGUUGGCUAGAGCGUUGGCUGUACCAAAUCCCACCUCUUGCUGGCGUGGGUUCGAAUGCCAUCGAGGCCG
This 83-nucleotide transfer RNA is filed under the name Schistocephalus solidus. It matches the Rfam family "tRNA". From Rfam's summary of the family: Transfer RNA (tRNA) molecules are approximately 80 nucleotides in length. Their secondary structure includes four short double-helical elements and three loops (D, anti-codon, and T loops). The record is from Rfam by way of RNAcentral. Lineage: Eukaryota; Metazoa; Platyhelminthes; Cestoda; Diphyllobothriidea; Diphyllobothriidae.